GACGAACCGUGCGAACGUUGUUCGGAAUCACUGGGCUUAAAGGGCGCGUAGGCGGGUCAGCAAGUCCGGGGUGAAAUCUUUCGGCUUAACCGGAAAAGUGCCUUGGAUACUGCUGGUCUGGAGUGAGGUAGGGGCCGCGGGAACUUCCGGUGGAGCGGUGAAAUGCGUUGAUAUCGGAAGGAACGCCGGUGGCGAAAGCGCGCGGCUGGCCCUCAACUGACGCUGAGGCGCGAAAGCUAGGGGAGCAAACGGG
RNAcentral lists this ribosomal RNA (253 nucleotides) under uncultured bacterium. RNAcentral's name for it is "partial 16S ribosomal RNA". It matches the Rfam family "Bacterial small subunit ribosomal RNA", at positions 524 to 776 of the family's 1533-position model. The record is from RNAcentral.